This 253-nucleotide ribosomal RNA is filed under the name uncultured bacterium. RNAcentral describes it as "partial 16S ribosomal RNA". It matches the Rfam family "Bacterial small subunit ribosomal RNA", at positions 524 to 776 of the family's 1533-position model. The record is from RNAcentral.
UACGUAGGUGGCAAGCGUUGUCCGGAUUUACUGGGCGUAAAGAGCGCGCAGGCGGUCGUAUAAGUCGAAUGUGAAAGCCCCCGGCUCAACUGGGGAGGGUCAUUCGAUACUGUUCGACUCGAAGGCAGGAGAGGGAAGUGGAAUUCCGGGUGUAGUGGUGAAAUGCGUAGAUAUCGGGAAGAACAUCAGUGGCGAAGGCGGCCUGCUGGGCUGUUGCUGACGCUGAGGCGCGACAGCGUGGGGAGCAAACAGG